This 466-nucleotide ribosomal RNA is filed under the name uncultured soil bacterium. Its description in RNAcentral is "bacterial SSU rRNA". It matches the Rfam family "Bacterial small subunit ribosomal RNA", at positions 26 to 501 of the family's 1533-position model. The record is from RNAcentral.
AGAUUGAACGCUGGCGGCAUGCCUUACACAUGCAAGUCGAACGGCAGCACGGGAGCAAUCCUGGUGGCGAGUGGCGAACGGGUGAGUAAUACAUCGGAACGUGCCCAAUCGUGGGGGAUAACGCAGCGAAAGCUGUGCUAAUACCGCAUAAGAUCUACGGAUGAAAGCAGGGGAUCGUAAGACCUUGCGCGAAUGGAGCGGCCGAUGGCAGAUUAGGUAGUUGGUGAGGUAAAGGCUCACCAAGCCUUCGAUCUGUAGCUGGUCUGAGAGGACGACCAGCCACACUGGGACUGAGACACGGCCCAGACUCCUACGGGAGCAGCAGUGGGGAAUUUGGACAAUGGGCGAAAGCCUGAUCCAGCCAUGCCGCGUGCAGGAUGAACGGCCUUCGGGUUACGUAAACGUGUACGUUUUGUAACGGUAACGUAAAAGUUCUUACUUUUACUAAAUAAAGAGGUAUACUAGU